RNAcentral lists this ribosomal RNA (253 nucleotides) under uncultured bacterium. RNAcentral describes it as "partial 16S ribosomal RNA". It matches the Rfam family "Bacterial small subunit ribosomal RNA", at positions 524 to 776 of the family's 1533-position model. The record is from RNAcentral.
UACGUAGGGUGCGAGCGUUAAUCGGAAUUACUGGGCGUAAAGCGUGCGCAGGCGGUUUUGUAAGCCAGAUGUGAAAGCCCCGGGCUUAACCUGGGAAUGGCACUUGGGACUGCAAGGCUUGAGUGCGGCAGAGGAGACUGGAAUUCCUGGUGUAGCAGUGAAAUGCGUAGAUAUCGGGAGGAACACCGGUGGCGAAGGCGGCGACCUGGGUAGAUACUGACGCUGAGGCGCGAAAGCGUGGGGAGCGAACAGG